RNAcentral lists this ribosomal RNA (301 nucleotides) under uncultured bacterium. Its description in RNAcentral is "partial 16S ribosomal RNA". It matches the Rfam family "Bacterial small subunit ribosomal RNA", at positions 509 to 809 of the family's 1533-position model. The record is from RNAcentral.
CAGCCGCCGCGGGAAUACGGAGGGUGCAAGCGUUAAUCGGAAUUACUGGGCGUAAAGCGCACGCAGGCGGUCUGACAAGUCAGAUGUGAAAUCCCCGGGCUUAACCUGGGAACUGCAUUUGAAACUGUCAGGCUGGAGUCUUGUAGAGGGGGGUAGAAUUCCAGGUGUAGCGGUGAAAUGCGUAGAGAUCUGGAGGAAUACCGGUGGCGAAGGCGGCCCCCUGGACAAAGACUGACGCUCAGGUGCGAAAGCGUGGGGAGCAAACAGGAUUAGAUACCCGGGUAGUCCCUGUCUCUUAUAA